CGUAGGCUGCUAACUAAACAUCUAGUCAAAGACUAAGGAAAAGAGCCUUUUUAAUCUAGAUCUAUUUGUUAGCUUGAGUGUUUUAGGUGGCUUAUACAUUCUUGAAGUAAGGGUGAAAUUGUUGAUAACUAGAAGAUGUUCAAAGGCGAAAGCGAUCGCAAUAAAACUCUGACGCUAAGGUACGAAAGCUUGGGGAUCGAAACGGAUUAGAGACCGUGUAGUCCAGGCCGUAAACAUGGGUGUUAAAUAUCUUGAGCCGUGCUUUUUUUAAAGUAUCUUGGGGAAUUUUAAGCUAACGCGUCAAACACCCCGCUGGGGAAUGUGGCCACAAGGCUUAAACUCAAAAGAAUUGACGGUGGCUCAUACAAGG
Molecule: ribosomal RNA, 370 nt
Rfam family: Bacterial small subunit ribosomal RNA